CGCGAUCUCCGAGUCUCUCUCAAU
This 24-nucleotide microRNA is filed under the name Gallus gallus (chicken). RNAcentral describes it as "microRNA Ros-gga". The record is from RNAcentral. Lineage: Eukaryota; Metazoa; Chordata; Aves; Galliformes; Phasianidae.